RNAcentral lists this ribosomal RNA (233 nucleotides) under uncultured bacterium. RNAcentral describes it as "partial 16S ribosomal RNA". It matches the Rfam family "Bacterial small subunit ribosomal RNA", at positions 103 to 334 of the family's 1533-position model. The record is from RNAcentral.
CGGGUGCGUAACACGUAAGCGACCUACCGCGGAGAGGGGGAUAGCCGGCCCAACGGCCGGGUAAUACCGCAUACGAUCUUGGGGGUGAGUGCCUCUGGGAUGAAACCUUUCGAGGGCUCUGCGCGGGGCUUGCGGCCUAUCAGCUAGUUGGCGGGGUAACGGCCCACCAAGGCGAUGACGGGUAGCUGGUCUGAGAGGAUGGCCAGCCACAUUGGGACUGAGAGACGGCCCAG